GAGUGGCGAACUGGUGAGUAACACGUGGGAAACCUGCCCAGAAGCGGGGGAUAACACCUGGAAACAGAUGCUAAUACCGCAUAACAACUUGGACCGCAUGGUCCGAGUUUGAAAGAUGGCUUCGGCUAUCACUUUUGGAUGGUCCCGCGGCGUAUUAGCUAGAUGGUGGGGUAACGGCUCACCAUGGCAAUGAUACGUAGCCGACCUGAGAGGGUAAUCGGCCACAUUGGGACUGAGACACGGCCCAAACUCCUACGGGAGGCAGCAGUAGGGAAUCUUCCACAAUGGACGAAAGUCUGAUGGAGCAACGCCGCGUGAGUGAAGAAGGGUUUCGGCUCGUAAAACUCUGUUGUUAAAGAAGAACAUAUCUGAGAGUAACUGUUCAGGUAUUGACGGUAUUUAACCAGAAAGCCACGGCUAACUACGUGCCAGCAGCCGCGGUAAUACGUAGGUGGCAAGCGUUGUCCGGAUUUAUUGGGCGUAAAGCGAGCGCAGGCGGUUUUUUAAGUCUGAUGUGAAAGCCUUCGGCUCAACCGAAGAAGUGCAUCGGAAACUGGGAAACUUGAGUGCAGAAGAGGACAGUGGAACUCCAUGUGUAGCGGUGAAAUGCGUAGAUAUAUGGAAGAACACCAGUGGCGAAGGCGGCUGUCUGGUCUGUAACUGACGCUGAGGCUCGAAAGUAUGGGUAGCAAACAGGAUUAGAUACCCUGGUAGUCCAUACCGUAAACGAUGAAUGCUAAGUGUUGGAGGGUUUCCGCCCUUCAGUGCUGCAGCUAACGCAUUAAGCAUUCCGCCUGGGGAGUACGGCCGCAAGGCUGAAACUCAAAGGAAUUGACGGGGGCCCGCACAAGCGGUGGAGCAUGUGGUUUAAUUCGAAGCUACGCGAAGAACCUUACCAGGUCUUGACAUACUAUGCAAAUCUAAGAGAUUAGACGUUCCCUUCGGGGACAUGGAUACAGGUGGUGCAUGGUUGUCGUCAGCUCGUGUCGUGAGAUGUUGGGUUAAGUCCCGCAACGAGCGCAACCCUUAUUAUCAGUUGCCAGCAUUAAGUUGGGCACUCUGGUGAGACUGCCGGUGACAAACCGGAGGAAGGUGGGGAUGACGUCAAAUCAUCAUGCCCCUUAUGACCUGGGCUACACACGUGCUACAAUGGAUGGUACAACGAGUUGCGAACUCGCGAGAGUAAGCUAAUCUCUUAAAGCCAUUCUCAGUUCGGAUUGUAGGCUGCAACUCGCCUACAUGAAGUCGGAAUCGCUAGUAAUCGCGGAUCAGCAUGCCGCGGUGAAUACGUUCCCGGGCCUUGUACACACCGCCCGUCACACCAUGAGAGUUUGUAACACCCAAAGUCGGUGGGGUAACCUUUUAGGAACCAGCCGCCUA
This 1380-nucleotide ribosomal RNA is filed under the name Lactiplantibacillus plantarum. RNAcentral's name for it is "Lactobacillus plantarum 16S ribosomal RNA". It matches the Rfam family "Bacterial small subunit ribosomal RNA", at positions 93 to 1459 of the family's 1533-position model. Lineage: Bacteria; Bacillati; Bacillota; Bacilli; Lactobacillales; Lactobacillaceae. The record is from RNAcentral.